Molecule: ribosomal RNA, 252 nt
Filed under: uncultured Bacteroidales bacterium
Lineage: Bacteria; Pseudomonadati; Bacteroidota; Bacteroidia; Bacteroidales
Description: partial 16S ribosomal RNA
Rfam family: Bacterial small subunit ribosomal RNA
Source: RNAcentral
UACGGAGGAUGCGAGCGUUAUCCGGAUUUAUUGGGUUUAAAGGGUGCGUAGGCGGGUUAUCAAGUCAGCAGUAAAAUCGUGGGGCUCAACCCCAUCCAGCCGUUGAAACUGGGGAUCUAGAGUGUGCGAGAGGUAUGCGGAAUGCGUGGUGUAGCGGUGAAAUGCAUAGAUAUCACGCAGAACUCCGAUUGCGAAGGCAGCUUACUAAGCCAUAACUGACACUGAAGCACGAAAGCGUGGGUAUCGAACAGG